Molecule: transfer RNA, 86 nt
Filed under: Salibacter halophilus
Lineage: Bacteria; Pseudomonadati; Bacteroidota; Flavobacteriia; Flavobacteriales; Salibacteraceae
Also listed under: 1 other name
Rfam family: tRNA
About the family: Transfer RNA (tRNA) molecules are approximately 80 nucleotides in length. Their secondary structure includes four short double-helical elements and three loops (D, anti-codon, and T loops).
Source: Rfam by way of RNAcentral
GGAGAGGUGGCAGAGUGGUAAUGCAGCGGAUUGCUAAUCCGUAGUCGCCUAACAGCGGCUCCCGAGUUCGAGUCUCGGUCUCUCCG